This 253-nucleotide ribosomal RNA is filed under the name uncultured bacterium. RNAcentral describes it as "partial 16S ribosomal RNA". It matches the Rfam family "Bacterial small subunit ribosomal RNA", at positions 524 to 776 of the family's 1533-position model. The record is from RNAcentral.
UACGGAGGGUGCAAGCGUUAAUCGGAAUUACUGGGCGUAAAGCGUGCGUAGGCGGUUUGUUAAGUCUGUUGUGAAAGCCCCGGGCUCAACCUGGGAAUGGCAAUGGAUACUGGCAAGCUAGAGUGUGAUAGAGGAUGGUGGAAUUCCCGGUGUAGCGGUGAAAUGCGUAGAGAUCGGGAGGAACAUCAGUGGCGAAGGCGGCCAUCUGGAUCAACACUGACGCUGAGGCACGAAAGCGUGGGGAGCAAACAGG